This 1868-nucleotide long non-coding RNA is filed under the name Sorghum bicolor (sorghum). RNAcentral's name for it is "long non-coding RNA (SBIC_LNC000683)". The record is from RNAcentral. Lineage: Eukaryota; Viridiplantae; Streptophyta; Magnoliopsida; Poales; Poaceae.
CGGAUUUUUCUGUUUGCGUUUAAAAUACCCAACAGUAUUCAAGCAUAGAUGAGAUAUUCAGGAAAUACAUAACUUUCCCAUUUGUAAUGUGUUUUUUCUCUGGCAGUGGUUUCAUCAGUGAUGUUGGCAGCAUGUCUGAUUCGCUUGCAUGCGUACUCAGUAGUUAUCUUCUCCUUCUCCUUACUCAUGUUGAUCAAUGUCCAUGGGUUGAUCUGGAUGCCAUCCUUCCAUCCUGAUGCAUCAAAUUGGUCGUUCUCGAUCCUGAUCGAUAGCUUUGGAGCACUCUAUGCCAUGUUUGAAGUGAGCUUUGUUAUUAUUAAACGGUUUACUGACUCGUAUGAGUAAACAUCAGCAGCAGUAGUACUGCUGCAAUCAAUAGCUGCUUACUUUGGGUUUUUGAGAAUAGGGGAAAAAAACUACUUACUUCAUUCACUUCAUCUUUUCUGCAAAAGACCCUUGAAAAGAAAGGUGGCUUAUCUGGUGAGUCAAAGUCGAUGCUCUCGUCAGAGUGGGAGUCUUCAAAUGGGUCAAUGCUGCUCCUGCUUCUCUGAUCGCAAGAAUGGUCGUAGGUCCUCAUGUCCUGUAGUGACUGACAAGUAAUUCAACCUAUAAUGAUCCAAAUACUGUCUUCUAUUGAACAAUACUUUGACUGAAUCUUUCAUAUUGGUAAAUAAAUGAAACAGUAGAACAUUUGAUGUAUCUCCCUUACUUGUUAAUUUAGAUGCAUACAACUGAUCCAUCCAAGAACAGUGCCAUGGAACAUUCUUUAAACAAAUAAAUUCGUUAGCACAAUUCGAAAUACCCCUUGCAUCACCAUAUCCACUCACAAAGAAACUCAACAAAGUAAAGCCUUGGAGCUAAAGCCGCUUCCAUCAAAACAACAUUUCAUUUUUAUACUAACAAAAGUGAAAUCCAAUGGCCUGAAUGCAUAGCACAGUAACUUCCAUUAGACUAUUGAUGUAAAGACAGCCAUGAUGUAAGAAAAUGAGAAAAACCCGUGGAUUAACUUGCUGGCAGCAGCGAGAAGACAUUCACUUAGUUCAGACAAGUGCAUUUUUGUUUGUGUGAUCAACAGACUAUACAUUUAGGCUAGAUAUCCAGUUCAUACUACAGAGUGAAAGAACAAAAAAAUUUAGUAUAAUUGCUAUCAACAAAUUUUCACGAAAAUACCAUAAACAUUUCUAGGUAGGAAUCAUUCAUCAGUUCUCACCGGGCAGUGAGCAAUUCAAUUGUAGCCUUCACAUCUUGCACCACGCUUUCACUAAUUUCUCACACUACAUAACUCUCUUUUCUUCAAAAGAAAACUGCAGAAAAUUUUUCGAGAACAAUUGUUGACAUAAAGUCAGAAGUUAUAUACCUCAAAAUUUUAAGUCACUAAGACGGCUGAAGCUCAAUUCUCAUUUCCUGGCUUAACAUCAACACCAUUAUGGUCAAGGAAGCACAAGCAUUUGAUUUUUCAUCCACAAUGUGUCUUCUCUGAUGGUAAGAUUGACAUGAUUGCAUUGGGAUCUCGUGGCUCCAAAGCAAGAGGGGCUAGGGUUAAGUGUUAAUCACAGCCAUGGCAGGAAGCUAAUAUUAGGGUUUGAGGAUCUACACAUCAGCAUGCAGUAUACCACAGUGGAGGAGGCCUGAGAUGGUCGGACUAAUGCCUGCACGCUGGGAUUCAACCGUCAACUGCCUGCACGCCAUGAACCAGCCACCACUGCGGCCUGCACGCCACGAACUAGCCGCCGCCGCCCACGCGCCCGAAACCAGACACCGCCGACGCCCGUGCACCUGAAUCCCGCGAUGGGGCCGUCCAUGGCGAGGCUCGGCCACCCGCGCCCCCAGCAAUGGAGCACCGGGGGAGGAGCAUUGGGGAAGAUGGG